UACAGAGGGUGCGAGCGUUAAUCGGAAUUACUGGGCGUAAAGCGUGCGUAGACGGUUAUUUAAGUCGGAUGUGAAAGCCCCGGGCUCAACCUGGGAAUUGCAUUCGAGACUGAAUAGCUAGGGUACGGUAGAGGGAAGUGGAAUUUCCGGUGUAGCGGUGAAAUGCGUAGAUAUCGGAAGGAACAUCAGUGGUGAAAGCGACUUCCUGGACCAGUACCGACGUUCAGGCACGAAAGCGUGGGGAGCAAACAGG
Molecule: ribosomal RNA, 253 nt
Filed under: uncultured bacterium
Lineage: Bacteria
Description: partial 16S ribosomal RNA
Rfam family: Bacterial small subunit ribosomal RNA
Source: RNAcentral